Ictidomys tridecemlineatus (thirteen-lined ground squirrel) is the source of this 531-nucleotide non-coding RNA. Lineage: Eukaryota; Metazoa; Chordata; Mammalia; Rodentia; Sciuridae. The record is from RefSeq and is a predicted model, not a curated record.
AGGUUAGAGGCAUUGAUUCUCCAUGUAAGAAUUAGGAAACCAGAUUCUUCUAUGUUGUGCAGGACCACUUUCCCCAAGGAAGUCAGUUUUUACAGGAAAUUGACGACAUAUUUUUCUUAUAAGAAUGUUUCUUCUUACUUCCAAACCACUGUACAUGGGCAAAAAUGACAAAAGAGGAAGAAAGGAGAGAUUCUUUGAACUAGAGCAGGAAUAAGGUUCCCCAUGUUCAACUUUUCAGUGUCUGCUGGAAUGUGACGCUUCUUUCCCAGAGCUGGAAAGAGAAGAGGUGUUUCCACCAACACGUUUCCAUUUGUCUUGAAGAGCACUUUGGCCAAGACCCAAGGAUGGAAUUAUGUACAGAGCAAUGGGCCUUCAAGGACAGAGGCCGGGACAGGGUAGACUCUGUCUUCCUGAGUGACUUCAUAGCUUCAAGACAUCAGCUGGGGACAGGGAACCUUCCCUGGGGACUCAACUAUCAGAUCUAGUGACUUAAUCGUAAAACUCCAGUAAUAUUAAACCAUAUAAAAUGUG